CUUCCUUGCAGAAAUUUCUUUUCUGCCUGUUGUUAAUUUCCUGCCCUGACUCCAAUCUACCUGGUAGGAAACUACUUUCUGAUUUUUAUUCCCACGGAAUAUUCGUUUUAUUCCUAAAUGUUUCUAAUUUUUUCUUCCAAGAUCUCUGUGGUUCUGGCUAUACAUUUAAAUGUAAAAUCAUUUUGAGCUGAAGUUUUGUGCAUGGAGUACAGAAGAAUUGACUGUCUCUAUGGUUCGUUCAUUUUUCUACUUCACGAUUCCUUUAUUUUUAUUGGCUUAUAGUUAUUGUCUUUGAGCUUCUUUUUUAGUCUCCUUUUUCAGGGUUCUUAUUAUAAAAGCACAUAUGAUUGCCUUUCGUCCUUUGCUCAUUUCCUCUGCGGGCAUUUACAGUUGUAAUUUCUCUCUAAGCACUAUGGUGGCUGUACCCAGCAUUUUGAUGUGUUGGGUCAUCAUCAUUCAGUUACCAAUGUUUUGAAUUUUUUAUUGUCAGCUCAUCUUUGACCCACGUGACCCAUACCAACAGGGUGUAUUGCUUGUUUUCUAAAAUUGGGGGUUUUCUAGAUGUCUUAUUGUUAUGGAUUUCCAAUUAAAUACUAUUAUGCCCAGAGCAUAUGCCAUGUAUGAUUUUGAUUUUGGAUAUAUAUUGAGACUUGUUAUAUGGUGCAGCGUAUGGUCUAAGUUGGUGAAAAUGCCGUAAACACUCGAAAACAAUGCUUUCUGCAGUUGUUGGAAGUAAUACUCUACAGAUGAUUUGCUUUGAAACCCCACUCUGGAUCUUGCCCUCCGUCCGUGUUGCAGACAUUCAACUACUGCUUGGGACCUGACUAGCAACACUUCAAACCCACUUGCCUAGAAGAGGUUGGCCCUGUGCUUCAAGAUGUAGCAGCUUGUUCUCUGAAGCUCUCAGAACUAGCUACAAGUUCUGGGUCUUGCUGAGACCACUCAGGUGCAUCACAUGCCUUUGCCUGCUGUAGCAGAUGCUGGAGUGCACCUUACAGACCCCCCAUCACCUUCAGGAUGGGGCAGGACAUUCCCUCAGCUGUUGAGAGUUCUGGAGCCUGGCAGAUUUCAGCCAAUGUCUCCUGGAGUCUCUGAGUAGAACCAAUAAAUAUAAGCCCUAAAGAAAGUGAGAAAUUAAACAAAGGGCAAGACUGAUGGGGGCCACACUACUAAAUUUCUUUUGUUUUUAAGCAGCUUUACUAAGGUAUAAUUGACAUAUCAUAACAUUCCUGUGUUUUAAGUGUACAGUUCAAUUAUUUUCCAUAAAAUUUUAGACUUGUGUGGCCAUCACCAUGAUCCUGCUUUGCACCAUUUCUACCAUUCCUGAGAAAUCCCUCCUGCUCAUCAGUCACCACCCCUUUUCGCUAGUCCCCAGCUCCAGGCAGCGCCCAAUUGACGUACCGACUCUACAGAUUUUCCUUUUCUGGGCACUGUAUAAAUAGAAUCAUGCAAUACGUGGUCUUUUGUAUCUGUUUUCUUUCACUUAGCUUAACGUACUUUCACGGUUCAUGUAUGUGGCAGCACGUAUCAAUAUUUCAUUCCUUUUAGGUGCCAAAUCCUAUUAAAUUGUAUGGAUAACUUUCAUUGCUUUAUUAGUUCAUCAGUGGAUAGAUAUUUGAUGUGUUUCUGCUUCAUGAAUUGUUACAGAUAAAGCUGCUAUGAAUAUUCACCUUCAUGUUUUGUGUGGAAAUAGUUUUUUUUUUCUUUUGGGCUGUUAGCUAGGAGUGAAAGUCCUAGAUCAUAUGAUAAAUGUAUCUUCAGCAUUGUAAGAAACUGCCUCACUGGUUUCCAACAUGGCUGCAUGUCCUAUCAGCAAUGCAUAUUUCAAUUUGUCACAUCAUUGUUUUUUUCACUUCCUCCAGGUGUUACUGUCCUUUUUUAUUACAGCAUUCUAGUGGGGAAGAAGUGGUGUCACACUGUAGUUUUGAUUUACAUUUCCCUGCCGACCGAUGAGGCUGACCAUCUUUCCAUGUGUUUUGUUGGCCAUUCCUACACCUUUUUGAUGAAAUGGUUAUUCAAAUAUAUUACCCAUUAUAAAAUUGGGUUAUUUACAUUUUUGAUGUUAGUUGUCAGUGUAUUUUAUAUUCUGGAAACAAGUCCUUUAUCAGAUAUAUGAUUUGAAUUUUUUUCUCAGUCUAUGGAUUACCUUUUCAUUUUCUUAUUGAUGACUUUUAAAUGCCAACGUUUUUAGUUUUGAUCAUGUUUCAUUUUUCAACUGGUUUUUAACCAGGAAAAGUUGUUUUCUUUUUGCCUUUUGAGUAUGUUAAUCUAUAUUUUCUUCUAAGAGGUAAACAGUUUUGCCCUUAAAGUUAGGCCCGUGAUUUAUUUUGAAGGAAUUUUUGCCUUUGUGUGUGUUAAUGGCCUAAAUUCAUAUGGCCAAUUAAUUUUUACAAUAGAAAAAUCCAUAUGGAAAAAAGAUAGUCUUUUAAACGAGUGAUACUGAGACAAGUGAAUUGUCCACAUGCUCAGGGAAUAUCAGCAUGCUAUGUCAAGUGUUGCCCAUCUGAGUUACCACCUUUUGACAUCAGAGUGUGUGAAGAAUUUCUAAAUACAAUCAUAUGGUUAAAUAAUAUGCUGCAGCCUUCUGCUUCUCCCCUUCGACCAACAGCCGCCUCUUGUUGUGCGGCACCAGUCACGUCCCCGAGACACCAUGGUGAAGGUGGAAGCCAGAGGCAACGGAUUCAGCCCUGUUGGGUGACUGGUAACCAGGGCUACUUAAAACUCUGGUAAAGUGGAUAUUGUCACCAUUCAUGACCCCUUCAUCGACCUCAAAUCCAUGGUCUACAUGUUCCAGUAUGAUUCCACCCAUGACGAAUUCCAUGGUACCAUCAAGGCUGAGAAUGGGAAGCUUGUCAUCAGUGGAAAUACCACCACCAUCUUCCAAAAGCUAGAGCCCACCAGAAUCAAAUAGGGCGAUGCUGGUACCAAGAACAUCAUAGAGUCCACUGGCGUCUUUACUACCAUGAAGGCUGCGGCUCGCUUGCAGCGGGGAGCUAAAAAGGUCAUCACCUCUAACCCUUCUGCUGACACCCUCAUGUUUGUGAUGGGUGUGAACCAUGAGAAAUAUGACAACAGCCUUAAGAUCAUCAGCAGUGCUUCCUGUACCACCAACUGCUUAGCACCUCUGGCCAGGAUUAUCCAUGACAACUUUGGUGUAGUGAAAGGACUCAUGACCACAGUCACUGCUAUUACUGCCGCACAAAAGGCUGUGGAUGUCCACUCUGUGAAACUGCGGCAUGACAGCUGCAGGGCUCAAAGGAACAUUAUCUUUGCAUCUACUGGCACUGUCAAGGCUGUGGCAAGUGUAUCAAUGAGCUGAGCAGGAGGCUCAGUGGCAGGGCAUUCUGUUACCCCCCCACCACCACGUUGGUCAUGGACUUGACCUGCCAAAUAGGAUAACAUCAAGAAGGUGGUGAAGCAGGCAUCAGAGGGUCCCCAUACGGGCAUCCUGUGCUGCACUGAGAACCAGACUGUCUCUUCCAGCUUAACCAUUGACACCCACUCUUCCACCUUCGAUCCCGGGAUGGGCAUUGCCCUCAGUGACCGCUUUCUCAAUCUCAUUUUCUGAUAUGACAAUGAAUUUGGCUAUAGAAACAGGGCGGUGAACCUCAUGACCCACAUGAUCUCCAAGGAGUAAGACCUCCGAACCACCAGCCCUAGCAGAGCAUCAGAGAAGAGAGGGCCUCAGCUGCUCAGGAGUCCCUGCCACACUCAGUCCCCCACCACACUGAGAAUCUCCCCUCCUCACAGUUUCCAUGCAGAAUCCUGAAGAGGGAGGGGCCUAAAAAAACCCCACCUUGUCAUGUAUCACCAAAAUGUCCCCUGAAUGUGCUCAGAAAAAAAAAUGCUGUAUUAGGAAAACUCACAAAGAUUACUGAUCAACAAAAGAAUAGAGGGCAUGAUUUAGACGGCAUGAUUUCCCCAUCCUCCUAUUUUAUACUGAUGCAUAAAUGAUCAGGAAGUGCUGGGCUCACAAUGGGAGUCUUUGCUCCAGUGUAGGAACAUUAGUCUCCCUUAUUAUAAUUUUUUAUCAUGUAAACACAUGGACACAGCUUUAUCAGUGGAGGAAAACAUGGGUUAUUGGUGUGAAACAAUCUAGAUUUAGGUGCCAGCUGUUCACAAGAUUGUCUGGGAAGAUCAACUGCCCAGCACCUGGAGUCCUUGGGACUCAGGCAAAGGGUUUCCUUUUUCUUAGGGGAGAAAGCCACCCAUUCUACAGAGAGCUUUACCAGGCACAGUUAUUUAUGCUGGGAAAAGGAAAAUUCCUCUUCUUGGCCAGCUUACUAAACUUCUGGGUUACUUUAGGAUAAUUACACCCCUUGUGCUUGAGUCCUAGAGAGGUCUGGUUGGACACGAGUAGCAUAGAAUAAUCUUUAAAGGCACAGGACUAGAUGAAAUAAGCUUAGGUAAAAAUAUUCAUGGAUAAUAGGGAAAGUUUCUGGACUGAAUCCUGAAGUAAACAUAUCAAUAUUUAGAAGUGGAACAGCGGGCUGGGCACAGUGGCUCAUGCCUGUAAUUCCAGCACUUUGGUAGGCCGAGGUGGGUGGAUCACCUGAGGUCAGGAGUUCGCGACCAGCCUGGCCAACAUGGUGAAAUCCUGUCUCUUGUAAAAGUACAAAAAUUAGCUGGGUGUGGUGGUGGGCACCUGUAUUUCCAGCUACUUAGAAGGCUGAGGCAAGAGAAUCGCUUGAGCCUGGGAGGCGGAGUUUGCAGUGAGCUGAGAUUGCGUCACUGCACUUCAGCCUGGGUAAAAAGGAGUGAAACUCCAACACGGAAAAAACAAACAAAAAAACAAAACUGUUGAACAGAAGAGGAGCCAGUUAAAUAUAUUGAGUAGGAGUCGGUGGCGGGCAGAAGGAAAAUUAGGAGGAGAUGGCCUUGUGAAAGUCAAGUGAAGGAAGUAUUUCAAGAGGAGUGUGGUCCGCUAUGUUGGAUGCUGCUGACACACGAAAUGCAACAGGAAGAUAAAACAAUUGAUUAUUGGUUUUGGCAAUGUUGUAAAUCAUUUGGUAAGAGCAACUGCCACAAACAGUUGGGUUGAAAGUUCAACUGGAAAGUCCAACAUACAGUUCAUCUGUGUUGUGGAAUAGAAGAAAAAUGUGAAGAGAGUGAUUAAUAAAAACAACACCUGUUCAAGAAGUUGUGCCAGGAAGAUCUCAGUAAAAAGGUGUUACAGCCAGAGGAGUCCCGAGUUUCUUUUUGUUGUGUUGUCUUAAAGUGGGCUACUCCUUUACUGAUCUUUAGCACCUUGUACAGAGCACCUUGUAGGUGCUCAAACAUUGUUAAGUGUUUGACUAAAUAAAGUGUCUAUGU
Callithrix jacchus (white-tufted-ear marmoset) is the source of this 5313-nucleotide RNA transcript. It is a transcript of the gene named keratin, type I cytoskeletal 18 pseudogene, with no coding region annotated. The record is from RefSeq and is a predicted model, not a curated record. NCBI's taxonomy places the organism in Eukaryota, Metazoa, Chordata, Mammalia, Primates, Cebidae.